GACGAACGCUGGCGGCGUGCUUAACACAUGCAAGUCGAACGGAAAGGCCCUGCUUUUGUGGGGUGCUCGAGUGGCGAACGGGUGAGUAACACGUGAGUAACCUGCCCUUGCCUUUGGGAUAACUUCAGGAAACUGGGGCUAAUACCGGAUAGGAGCUCCUGCUGCAUGGUGGGGGUUGGAAAGUUUCGGCGGUUGGGGAUGGACUCGCGGCUUAUCAGCUUGUUGGUGGGGUAGUGGCUUACCAAGGCUUUGACGGGUAGCCGGCCUGAGAGGGUGACCGGCCACCUUGGGCCUGAGAUACGGACCAGACGCCUACGGGAGGCAGCAGUGGGGAAUCUGGCACAACGGGCGGAAGCCUGAUGCAGCAACGCCGGGUGCGGGAUGACGGCCUGCGGGGUGUAAACCGCUUGCGCCUGUGACGAAGCGUGAGUGACGGUAAUGGGUAAAGAAGCACCGGCUAACUACGUG
Molecule: ribosomal RNA, 468 nt
Filed under: uncultured bacterium
Lineage: Bacteria
Description: partial 16S ribosomal RNA
Rfam family: Bacterial small subunit ribosomal RNA
Source: RNAcentral